UGGUGGCUGGGGUUCAGUCUGCCGCUGCAAAUACCAAAAGCUGUCCUCAUUGAGUCAUCCCUCCCAGAGCAGGAAGAGCAGAGGUUCUGGGAAACAACCCCAAGGAGAGAGACAGGGCAUUUAUAAAACAGCAUGUAAGCAUCUCUGCAGUUGCUGUCCCCAGAGCCCACUUCCUGGAUAUUGCCAGCUGCCUGGACCAACCUUUCCGAAAGAUCAGCCAGGUCACAGUGAGGGUCAAAGGUACCAGCGAAGAGGGCAAGAACACAGCACUACUUCCUUGGAUACUGUUUCCCUCCUCAGAGGGGUUUUCUGAGCUGCCCUGGGUCCUGUGAGGAAGAUCUCCCCUUCCUGUAAAGACACCAGUCCUACUGGAUCAGGGCCCACCCGUGUGACUUCACUUUUACUUGAGUACCUCUCACAGACCCUAACUCCAAAUCAGGUCACUUGCUGAGGUACUGCAUGUGAAGACUUUGACAUUUGAAUUUUGAGGGGGCCACCGUUUAACCUGAACCACCAAGGACAGAGCCAAAGACCCUGGGUGACAGGCCCAGAACAGGACCUGGUGGAGGCUCUUCUUUAGGGGAGAGAGGGAAAUGGGAGCCACCACUGGCAGAGCCUGAAGGCAGGGCAGCCAGAAAGAAGCUGUGGGAGUCCCCACCAUGGAAGACCCUGCCGAGCAUCCUGUGUCUCCUGAAGCAGACCCUGACAUGAGGACUGGGGGCACGUGUUUAUUAAGGGCGAUCCCCGGAAGGAGGAGAUAACCAGGCAGAAGUCCUAGCAGAGUAUGCCCACGCUGGUUAGUGCUGCUGCAAAGAUGAGCCGAAGACCAUGAGAGACCUCCAGGUGGUCCUUCUGGGGAGAAGAAAUGGGUUUUGGCCCCAAAUCCUUCUGCUGCAUUUUUCCCCUAUCCCUGGGAAGCCAUGAGACCUCAAACCUGUGUUCCCAAGGAGGCGAGCUGCUGUUCCCAGGUGAUGAUAUGAUGUGCUUGGGGAAAGUAAGUGGCUGCCAGACAUGGCUGAGAGCUGUUGUCACUGCCGUCAAGUGCAUGUCUCCAAGCCAUAUCACACGGCGUCCCUCGAUGUGAGGCCACAUGGCAAGUGGGCCGUGGAUCUCCCUCUGCCCUUUGCAAGCACGUAAGACAGCAGAUUUUGCAGAUACCUUGUGGCGCAGGGGAAUUUCCUUUGGCCAGGUCUGAAGAAAUAAAGCAGCAGGCACCGAGAACAAAGCCAAGGCUUUCAAAAGACAAGGAGCCAAAAAACUUACUCAAAAUAAAAGUAGUUUUAAAAUGUC
RNAcentral lists this long non-coding RNA (1290 nucleotides) under Homo sapiens (human). Its description in RNAcentral is "HSALNT0400141". Lineage: Eukaryota; Metazoa; Chordata; Mammalia; Primates; Hominidae. The record is from RNAcentral.